RNAcentral lists this ribosomal RNA (458 nucleotides) under uncultured bacterium. RNAcentral describes it as "partial 16S ribosomal RNA". It matches the Rfam family "Bacterial small subunit ribosomal RNA", at positions 338 to 795 of the family's 1533-position model. The record is from RNAcentral.
CCUACGGGUGGCAGCAGUGAGGAAUAUUGGUCAAUGGGCGAGAGCCUGAACCAGCCAAGUCGCGUGAGGGAGUACUGCCCAUUGGGUUGUAAACCUCUUUUGUCGGGGAGCAAAAGCCGGACGUGUCCGGCUGUGAGAGUACCCGAAGAACAAGCAUCGGCUAACUCCGUGCCAGCAGCCGCGGUAAUACGGGGGAUGCGAGCGUUAUCCGGCUUUAUUGGGUUUAAAGGGUGCGGAGGCGGAUGUUUAAGUCAGCGGUAAAAUCGUGGGGCUCAACCCCGUCGAGCCGUUGAUACUGGGGAGCUGGAGUGUGCGUGAGGUAUGCGGAAUGCGUGGUGUAGCGGUGAAAUGCAGAGAUAUCACGCAGAACCCCGAUUGCGAAGGCAGCAUACCGAUGCACAAUUGACGCUCAGGCACGAAAGCGUGGGUAUCGAACAGGAUUAGAUACCCUAGUAGUC